GCGCCUGUAGCUCAGUGGAUAGAGCAAUUGGUUGCGGUCCAAUAGGUCGGGGGUUCGACUCCCUUCAGGCGCGCCA
This 76-nucleotide transfer RNA is filed under the name Candidatus Hippobium faecium. Its description in RNAcentral is "tRNA-Arg". It matches the Rfam family "tRNA". Rfam says of the family: Transfer RNA (tRNA) molecules are approximately 80 nucleotides in length. Lineage: Bacteria; Bacillati; Armatimonadota. The record is from RNAcentral.